Molecule: ribosomal RNA, 772 nt
Filed under: uncultured Neocallimastigales
Lineage: Eukaryota; Fungi; Neocallimastigomycota; Neocallimastigomycetes; Neocallimastigales
Description: partial large subunit ribosomal RNA
Rfam family: Eukaryotic large subunit ribosomal RNA
Source: RNAcentral
UGUAGUCUCGCACAGAUGCAUAUCAAUAAGCGGAGGAAAAGAAACUAACAAGGAUUCCCUCAGUAACGGCGAGUGAAGCGGGAAGAGCUCAAAUUUGAAAUCUUGAAAGGUCACCUUUCACGAAUUGUAGUUUAAAGAAGUGUUUUCUGUUACGAUCGUAAUAUAAGUUCUUUGGAAUAGGACAUCACAGAGGGUGAGAAUCCCGUCUAUGAUUGCGAUUUGUAGCUUUGUGAUACACUUUCAAAGAGUCGGGUUGUUUGGGAAUGCAGCCCAAAACGGGAGGUAAAUUUCUUCUAAGGCUAAAUAUUGGCGAGAGACCGAUAGCGAACAAGUACCGUGAGGGAAAGAUGAAAAGAACUUUGAAAAGAGAGUUAAAUAGUACGUGAAAUUGUCAAAAGGGAAGCGUUUAACACCAGUGUUGUUUUCUGAAAAUCAACCUCUGUUAGCUUUAUGCAUGUUUGUUUAGACCUAAUCAGCUAUCUUGCAUGUUCUAUUGUUUGCAGUGGUGCACUUUUCAGUUUACAUGUCAACAUCAGUUUUUUUUACCGUAAAAAAGUUAAAGAAAGGUAGCUCAUGGCUCCGGUCGUGAGUGUCAUAGUCUUUUUCCUAUGCGGUAGGAGAGACUGAGGUCUGCAGUGUAGGCUAUUUGGCUAAAUACUCAGGUGCUAUGUGAUACCAUUUCAUAAACAACUUGUUGAUUAUGUUUUGUCUAUUGCAUACUCGCUUGUACUAUCAUACCUACGCUUAGGAUGUUGAGUCGUAGAGCACGCAG